Small nuclear RNA from Pteronotus mesoamericanus, 108 nucleotides. Lineage: Eukaryota; Metazoa; Chordata; Mammalia; Chiroptera; Mormoopidae. The record is from RefSeq and is a predicted model, not a curated record.
GUGCUCGCUCACUUCAGCAGCACAUAUACUGAAAUUGGGAUGAUACAUAGAUUAGCAUAACCCCUGCACAAGGAUGACACAACAAUUCAUGAAGUCUUUCAUAUUUUA